Molecule: ribosomal RNA, 499 nt
Filed under: uncultured bacterium
Lineage: Bacteria
Description: partial 16S ribosomal RNA
Rfam family: Bacterial small subunit ribosomal RNA
Source: RNAcentral
GACGAACGCUGGCGGCGUGCUUAACACAUGCCAGUCGAACGGGCCCGCCCCUGUUUUUGGGGGUGGGUUGAGUGGCGAACGGGUGAGUAUCACGUGAGUAACCUGCCCCCUGCUCCUGGAUAACUGCUUGAAAGGGCGGCUAAUACGGGGUGUGCCGGCUGGUCCGCAUGGGCCUGGUCGGGAUAGUUUCAUCUUCGGGUGUUUCGGUGGGGGAUGGGCUCGCGGCCUAUCAGCUUGUUGGUGGGGUGAUGGCCCACCAAGGCGGUGACGGGUAGCCGGCCUGAGAGGGUGGGCGGCCACACUGGGACUGAGACACGGCCCAGACUCCGGCGGGAGGCAGCAGUGGGGGGUAUUGCACAAUGGGCGGAAGCCUGAUGCAGCGACGUCGCGUGAGGGAUGGAGGCCUUCGGGUUGUGAACCUCUUUCUCCGGUGGUGAAGGCCCUGUCCGGUGCGGCGGGGUUGACGGUAGCCGGGUAUGAAGCGCCGGCUAACUACGUG